ACUCAAAUGAAUUGACGGGGAAGUGCACAACCAGGGGAGCAUGUGGUUCAAUUCGAUACGAAGCGAAAGACCUUACCCAGAUUUGACAUGCUACCGUUUAUUCUGUCGGAAACGAUGGGAAAUCAGCAAUGAUGGUAGCACAGGUGUUACAUAGCUGUCGUCAGCUCGUGCCGUGGGGUGUCGACUUAAGUGUCGAAACGAGCGCAACCCCUACUCUGUGUUCAAUAGCUCACAGAGAACUGCCUCGCAUACAGCGGGGAGGAAGGAGGGGAUGAUGUCAAGUCAGUAUGAUCCUUACAUCUGGGGCCACACACAUCCUACAAUGGGGAGGAACAAUGGGUUGCCAAGCGGUAACGCGGAGCCAAUCCCAGCAAAACUCCCCCCAAUUCAGAUUGAGGGCUGCAACUCGCCCUCAUGAAGACGGACUUGGUAGUAAUCGCGGAUCAGCAGGCCGCGGUGAAUACGUUCUCACUUCUUGUACACACCGCCCGU
This 492-nucleotide ribosomal RNA is filed under the name uncultured bacterium. RNAcentral describes it as "partial 16S ribosomal RNA". It matches the Rfam family "Bacterial small subunit ribosomal RNA", at positions 899 to 1397 of the family's 1533-position model. The record is from RNAcentral.